UACGUAGGGUGCGAGCGUUGUCCGGAAUUAUUGGGCGGAAAGAGCUCGUAGGCGGUCUGUCGCGUCGGUCGUGAAAACUUGGGGCUUAACCCUGAGCUUGCGGUCGAUACGGGCAUGACUGGAGUUCGGCAGGGGAGACUGGAAUUCCUGGUGUAGCGGUGAAAUGCGCAGAUAUCAGGAGGAACACCGGUGGCGAAGGCGGGUCUCUGGGCCGUAACUGACGCUGAGGAGCGAAAGCGUGGGGAGCGAACAGG
Molecule: ribosomal RNA, 254 nt
Filed under: uncultured bacterium
Lineage: Bacteria
Description: partial 16S ribosomal RNA
Rfam family: Bacterial small subunit ribosomal RNA
Source: RNAcentral